Molecule: long non-coding RNA, 519 nt
Filed under: Elaeis guineensis (African oil palm)
Lineage: Eukaryota; Viridiplantae; Streptophyta; Magnoliopsida; Arecales; Arecaceae
Description: long non-coding RNA (EGUI_LNC080151)
Source: RNAcentral
UCACGCAAAGCCCUCCUCAUGCCCUACUUUAAUGCACCAAAUGAGUGGAUAAGGAUGAUUGGUUGGCAAUUCAAAUUCAAAACAAAGUUUAAAUUUGAAUGAGCAACCAAUCUUAGCACCUUGACCUUAUCCUCUUUUAACGUCCCAUUUAUUACACGAGAAAAUAUUUCUCAUGAAAUCACUCACACACAAAUAAUGUCACACCCUCCUCUUCUCACGUCCUUAGUAGAUAGGAAUAAAUUGGUUUCCAUUUGAAUUCAAAAUUUGAUUUGAAUUCAAAUGUGCAAUUACUCAUCUUUAUCCUCUCACGUGGAUAAGACAUUUGACAUUGUUUUAAAAGGAGGAGAAGAGUGGGGCAUGUGCAAGAAAAAUUUUGGAUAGAAAAUUUGGGCGUGAGGAAUCCUUGUGUGCCAGGUGAAGGUCUAUAUCCUUCCGAGAGAAAAAGAAAAAAAAGAAAGAAAAAGUGUGCGCAGGGUUUCAGUGAGUUCUUCAGGGUUUCAGCCUGGAGUUCGAGAAGUG